This 103-nucleotide small nuclear RNA is filed under the name Notamacropus eugenii (tammar wallaby). The record is from RNAcentral. Lineage: Eukaryota; Metazoa; Chordata; Mammalia; Diprotodontia; Macropodidae.
UUGCUUUGGAAACACAUAUAUUAAAAUGAGAAUGAUACAGCGCAGCCUAGCAUGACCCCUCCCCAAGGAUGACAUGCAAAUUCAUGAAACAUUCCAUAUUUUU